UACGGAGGGGGCUAGCGUUGUUCGGAAUUACUGGGCGUAAAACGCACGUAGGCGGCUUUGCAAGUUAGAGGUGAAAGCCCGGGGCUCAACUCCGGAAUUGCCUUUAAAACUGCAUCGCUAGAAUUGUGGAGAGGUAAGUGGAAUUCCGAGUGUAGAGGUGAAAUUCGUAGAUAUUCGGAAGAACACCAGUGGCGAAGGCGACUUACUGGACACAUAUUGACGCUGAGGUGCGAAAGCGUGGGGAGCAAACAGG
This 253-nucleotide ribosomal RNA is filed under the name uncultured bacterium. RNAcentral describes it as "partial 16S ribosomal RNA". It matches the Rfam family "Bacterial small subunit ribosomal RNA", at positions 524 to 776 of the family's 1533-position model. The record is from RNAcentral.